ACUGCUCAGUAACACGUAGCUAACCUACCCUUAGGACGUGGAUACCCCCGAGAAAUUGGGGUUAAUCCGCGAUAGAUGUAAUGUCCUGGAAUGGUAUUACGUCUAAAGGUAUUUCAUACAUGUUUGAAAUAUGCCUAAGGAUGGGGCUGCGGCCGAUCAGGCUGUUGGUGAGGUAAUGGCUCACCAAACCUUUGACCGGUACGGGCCAUGAGAGUGGUAGCCCGGAGAUGGACACUGAGACAAGGGUCCAGGCCCUAAGGGGCGCAGCAACCGCGAAACCUCCACAAUGCACUAACGUGCGAUGGGGCUAUCUCGAGUGCCACCUGAUGAAGGUGGCUUUUCCUUGGUCUUCAAAGCCUUGGGAAUAAGAGGGGGGCAAGACUGGUGUCAGCCGCCGCGGUAACACCAGCCCCUCGAGUGGUGGGGAUGAUUAUUUGGCCUAAAGCGUCCGUAGCCGGCCGUGAAAGUCUUCCGUUAAAUCCAGCGUCUCAAGCGUUGGACCGCGGGAGAUACUACACGGCUAGAGAGUGGGAGAGGUCAGCGGUAUUCUGGGGGUAGGGGCGAAAUCCUUUGAUCCCCGGAGGACCACCAGUGGCGAAGGCUGCUGACUAGAACACGUCUGACGGUCAGGGACGAAAGCUGGGGUAGCGAACCGGAUUAGAUACCCGGGUAGUCCCAGCCGUAAACGAUGCAUGCUAGGUGUUGGGUUGGCCACGAGCCACCCCAGUGCCGCAGGGAAGCCGUUAAGCAUGCCGCCUGGGAAGUACGAUCGCAAGAUUGAAACUUAAAGGAAUUGGCGGGGGAGCACCACCAGGCGUGAAGCCUGCGGUUUAAUUGGAUUCAACGCCGGA
RNAcentral lists this ribosomal RNA (851 nucleotides) under uncultured archaeon. Its description in RNAcentral is "bacterial SSU rRNA". It matches the Rfam family "Archaeal small subunit ribosomal RNA", at positions 85 to 922 of the family's 1478-position model. The record is from RNAcentral.